RNAcentral lists this long non-coding RNA (415 nucleotides) under Mytilus galloprovincialis (Mediterranean mussel). The record is from RNAcentral. Lineage: Eukaryota; Metazoa; Mollusca; Bivalvia; Mytilida; Mytilidae.
GUGAUUUCUUCAUAAUAAUUUCAAGAAGGAAAGUGCCAUGUGUACUCUUCAAAAUAAAGCAAUAAAAAGUGUAUGUCACCGACCUUUCAAAAAAGUUAUGAGUAAUUUUCAUGUUUUUUUCUCGUUCAUUUUGAAGAAAAGAGUUGUCUUUCUUCAGAACAUUGCACCUGACGUCAUAGUACAAACUUUCCUUGCUGGCGCACUAUUUAAAAAAAAUCGCAAAUUGGACGUUUGAAACCCACAUUUAAAUUUCCAAGAAUGACAACUAUAUUCACCUACUUAAUUAUUAUCCGGUAAUACAAGAGAUUAAAUGCAUGUGUCAGUAUCAGAUCUUACGAUGUUGCCGAACAAUAUUAACCUUCAGAAACACCAUCCGUCGGAAUGGAAAAUUGUUUAAAAUAACCUUUCACGCCGC